RNAcentral lists this ribosomal RNA (195 nucleotides) under uncultured bacterium. Its description in RNAcentral is "partial 16S ribosomal RNA". It matches the Rfam family "Bacterial small subunit ribosomal RNA", at positions 161 to 353 of the family's 1533-position model. The record is from RNAcentral.
CGCUAAUACCGCAUGAGACUACAGAGCUGCAUGGCUCAGUGGUCAAAGGAGCAAUCCGCUGAAAGAUGGACUCGCGUCCGAUUAGAUAGUAGGCGGGUAACGGCCCACCUAGUCGACGAUCGGUAGCCGGACUGAGAGGUUGAACGGCCACAUUGGGACUGAGACACGGCCCAGACUCCUACGGGAGGCAGCAUG